UAGCCGUAAACGAUACUCGCUAGGUGUCGGCCACGGUGCGACCGUUGUCGGUGCCGUAGGGAAGCCGUGAAGCGAGCCACCUGGGAAGUACGGCCGCAAGGCUGAAACUUAAAGGAAUUGGCGGGGGAGCACAACAACGGGUGGAGCUUGCGGUUUAAUUUGGAUUCAACGCCGGAAAUCUUACCGGGACCGACAGCAACAUGAAGGCCAGGCUGAAGACUUUGCCGGAUUAGCUGAGAGGUGGUGCAUGGCGUAGUCGUGU
Molecule: ribosomal RNA, 262 nt
Filed under: uncultured archaeon
Lineage: Archaea
Description: partial 16S ribosomal RNA
Rfam family: Archaeal small subunit ribosomal RNA
Source: RNAcentral